AUUUAUAUAGUUUAAAUAAAACAUUACAUUUUCACUGUAAAAAUAAUACACAUGUAUUUAUAGAUAU
RNAcentral lists this transfer RNA (67 nucleotides) under Conophyma sp. RNAcentral's name for it is "tRNA-Glu". Lineage: Eukaryota; Metazoa; Arthropoda; Insecta; Orthoptera; Dericorythidae. The record is from RNAcentral.